Long non-coding RNA from Alosa sapidissima (American shad), 541 nucleotides. RefSeq lists it as uncharacterized. NCBI's taxonomy places the organism in Eukaryota, Metazoa, Chordata, Actinopteri, Clupeiformes, Clupeidae. The transcript is spliced from 3 exons. The record is from RefSeq and is a predicted model, not a curated record.
ACUGCAUACCUCGCAAUCCUGAGAGGUUGCAACCCCCGGGGAUGUGGUAAUGCGAAUGCUGCGCCACAUCCCGGAUGACAAAUUCGCACUUGCAGCCUUUAAGAUCACUGCUGUGAUAUGAGGUGCAUCGGCUGUUCAAACAAUAACCGCCAGUGACUGUGAGGCAGUCAUGAAAAACUGGCUGAAGUACAGUGGUGACAGGAAUGGAGGGAGGAAGAGGAGAGCUGGGAGACAGCAGGGAGGUGAUGAUCCAGUGUCCAGGGAUAGCAGCAGCAUGGAUGAGGACGACUUUUAAGUUAUUUAUUUGUUUGUUUGUAUUGUUUAUAAUAAAUUAUAUUGUUAUCUGUAGGUUAUAACUGCUGUCUGUUUUAAUUCCUUAUGACAUUUAAGCUAUGAAUGGACUUCUGUAAGAUCCUAGAAGCUCAAAUAUCAUGCUUAAAGGACAAUUCCGGCACAAAAUGAACCUAGGGGUUAAUAACACAUGUGUACCAAGUUCGACCGUUCGCUGGGAUUUAUUUUCAUGCUAGUCGAAUGUGACCCG